GGGAGGCGGCUUGCGGGUCGCCAGCGCCACCUGGAGGGCGGAGGGGCAAGCGCAGGCGCGCUCCCUCCCCCUCUGCGCGUGCGCUGCGGGCUCUGCCCGCGGGACGCUGCCAACCCGGCCGGACCCACCCAGCUCAACAGGUGACCCACCCACCCGGCUGUCCCCCUGACGGUGCCGCCGAGUCAAAAAGCACGGCUCCUGUCUGAAGUUUGCUCUUGGGACAGAUUAACAGAGAGCUGACUGACACGGAAGGAUAUGGGAGAAAAGGCCUAAGGAUUACAGAGGAUGGGAGAGAGGUACAUCCAGCCAGGACUGGCCGUGUUGAAGCUUGAAGGCAAGACAAUCAGAGGUGCAGUGAAGUGGAAAACUUGGCAGGGCCUUGAAGAUCGUAUCAGAAAUAAAGGAUUCUAACUGGGCGUGAUGGUGUACACCUUUAAUCCUUUGAGUUUGAAGCCAGCUGGAUCUACAUAGCAAGUUCAAAGCCAGGCAGGGCUACAGAGUGAGACCCUGUCUCAAGAUUAAUCGAUUAACUUAAAAAAAUAAAGAACUUUCUCUUUAAGGCAGUGAGAAUGUUAACAAGAUCCAAAAUAUCUGGGGCAAGUUCUGGGGCAGUGAGACCCGUGACAGUGGAGUGGCCAGGUCCAGAAUACUAAGUUAAAUCUGAAUUUGAGAAAAACAGUUCGAGGGCUGGAGAGAUGGCUCUGCAGUUAGAACACUGGCUGCUCUUCCAGGGGACCAGGGUUGAGCCCCAGCACCCACAUGGUGGCCCACAAACAUCUGUAACUCCAGUGUCAGCGGAUCCAAAGGCCUCUGAGGUCACUGCACACACAUGGUACACAAACAUACAUGCAAGCAAAAACACCUAUACACAUAAAAUAAAAAUAAAAUAUCUUAAAAGAAAAUCAAUGUAUUUAUGCAUAUAUCUAGUAUAAGUAUGUCCCAUGCAAUUUGGGGGACAUACACUACUUAUAUAUAUCUGGACAUUUAUCUGAGUGCCCUAUAUACUGAUCUGCUGUAGAUAUCUAAGCCACUUGGUCAUAAGAGUACAUGUCCAUGGUCCUAGGCUACUGCCUGGAAAGACGCAGAGAUGUCAUAGGCUGCCUACCUGUCCGAAGAUGUAAGACAACAUCCUCCAAUUAAAGUUAUCAGAACUAAAGCAGGUCUGUUUCCUCUACACCAGCUUUCUCGAUGCAUUCAAAAUUCAAGGGAAAAGAAUUUUCCUCUGGGAAUUAUAGCCUUAAAAAAUUCUCUUUCGAGUGUCUUCUUCACUCAUGCUUAAAUGAAAAGCCAACAUCCAAAGUAAAUAAGCCUCCACGAAGAACUGCCCGCUCUGGACCACUUCUGUUUUGUGUGAAGAAAUCUUAUUUUUGCAUGGCCUUUCUUUGUACUAAAAAGAAAAGUGAGAGGGUUGGCAUAAUUAUGGUUCUGAUGAAUUGAAUGAACAGUUUACCAGAAGAGGAACUGGACUGUUAGAGGGUAUAAACUACAUUUUCAGGUCAAAUUCACUUGGAGAACUGUUUGGGCUAUCUGGGUUGUUUUUGUACGGGAAACUACACUCAUUCAAAAAUCUCAGUCUCGGUGAACAUGAUAGUGUACACCUGUGAAGUACUUGGGAUGUUGAGGCAAGAAGAUUGUGAGUUCAAAGAGACUGGCAUGGAGUAGAACUUCUCAGUGAGAGCCCGGGGCAGUUGUCUCCACAAGCAGGGGAGAUGGCAGGGAGGUCAGCAAACCCAUUCCAAGAUGGAAAGGUCGCGAGGGGACUGCUUUCUGGGCAUACGUGGCUGGGACAGAUCACCACUGCUGUUCUCACAUACUUGCACACCGACUCAUCACGCUGCUGGAGAAAUAACCAAAAGCCACACUCUGGAAUCACGGGCAGCGGCAGCCUUGUUCCCGCAAUGGUCCUUUGUUGCCCUCUACUGGCCACGCUUAAUACCAUACCCACGGCAAAGGCGAUCCCCGUAAACACACCGGAGGUACAAAUUUAGAGCAGAAAGUCAACAAUUGAUGACUGGCACAAAGCACUGAAGGCCAUUCUGGCCUACACAAUUAGAACUUAUCGAAACAAACAAACAUCCCAUUUCCCCUCCACUCUCAUGCCGUAAUAAACGCAGAAAACUUGUGACCUCAAAACCUGUGAGGAAGCCAGGUGGUGGUGGUGGUGGUGCAUGCUUUUAAUCCCAGCACUGAAGAGGCAGAGGAGGCAGAUCUCUGUGAGUUCGAGGACAACCUGGUCUACAGAGUGAGAUCCAGGACAGGCACCGAAACUAUACAGAGAAACCCUGAAGAUGGUGGCAGACCCCAACGGUCGGGUGCCCAACACUGGGCCCUCUAUUUAGAUGCCAGACCAAACCCCAGGUUCCUCAGUGCUUAUGGACAGGGUACAUACAAACUGGAGUUCCCACAGUUCUCACGACCCCCUGUCUCCCCAGGUUCAAUGAAUUUGCUUGAGUAGCUCACAGAAUUCAGAGAAUAACCUAUUCUGCUGUUUCAUUUAUAGUGAGUGUUAAAGGCUACAAAUGGCCCGAGGAUGCACAGUCGUUUUUGUCUACUAGACACAGACUAGAGUCACCUGGGAAGAGGGACCUCCAUCCUGUUAGCUCGUGAGCAUGUCUGCAGGGCAAUUUCAUUGACGUGGGAGGGCCCUGAACACUGUGAGCUGGGUCACCCCUGAGCAUGAUCCUGUGCAGCCUAAGAGAGCAAGCUGAACACGCCAUGGGAAGCAAGGAAAUGCACAGCAGUCCUCCAGCUCCUGCCUUGACUUCCUGCCUUGGCUCCCCUCGAUGAUUGAUUGUAACUUAUAAGGUGAAAUAACCCUUUUCUCCUCACAUUGCUUUGUCAUUGUGAAGGGGCCCCAAAAUAGCUUGACCGCACAGCAGCCGUGACAGACUUAGGGGCCUAGACACAGUUUCUGUGACAGGCUUACUGGCAGGCAACACCCAGAUCCAGGAAAAGCCUUAAGCUGAUACCACCCAGGGAUCUACCCAGGGGUGAGGAAGUACCUGAUAUCCCAAACAUUCCAACCAUUAGAUAGGGUGGCCAGAUGUCCUUGAGUCCAGCACACACCUAUUUUUUGUUUUACAGAUACCCCUAGACAAUUGUCAGCCAAUCAGGGUCCUGGACCCUGGAAAUCCCCUCACUCCAACCUCUGCUAUGAUAAAAAAACUCUGCCCCACCUGAGUUCAGGGCUCUCUGCUCUCACCGCUGUGUUGGACAGACAGAAGGACCAAGCUCUGGAGCUUAAAAUAAAGGCUCUUUGCUUUUACAUGCGGGA
Long non-coding RNA from Peromyscus californicus insignis, 3274 nucleotides. RefSeq lists it as uncharacterized. NCBI's taxonomy places the organism in Eukaryota, Metazoa, Chordata, Mammalia, Rodentia, Cricetidae. The transcript has 3 exons. The record is from RefSeq and is a predicted model, not a curated record.